This 77-nucleotide small nucleolar RNA is filed under the name Mollisia scopiformis. RNAcentral's name for it is "Phialocephala scopiformis A. fimigatus snoRNA Afu_298". It matches the Rfam family "A. fimigatus snoRNA Afu_298". Lineage: Eukaryota; Fungi; Ascomycota; Leotiomycetes; Helotiales; Mollisiaceae. The record is from Rfam by way of RNAcentral.
GCGAAUGACGAUUUCUUUUUAACCCUGAGUCUCUUCGAUGAAGACUAAAACUUUGCAACUCUAAUUUUUUCCUGACC